RNAcentral lists this long non-coding RNA (3525 nucleotides) under Canis lupus familiaris (dog). Its description in RNAcentral is "lncRNA (ENSCAFG00845007454.1)". The record is from RNAcentral. Lineage: Eukaryota; Metazoa; Chordata; Mammalia; Carnivora; Canidae.
UUUUUUUUUUUUUUUUUUUUUAAAGAUUUUAUUUACUUAUUUACGAGAGACACAGAGAGCAAGAGAGGCAGAGACACAGGCAGAGGGAGAAGCAGGCUCCAUGCAGGGAGCCUGACGUGGGACUCGAUCCCAGGACUCCAGGAUCAUGCUCUGGGCCAAAAGCAGGUGCUAAACCCGCUGAGCCACUCACCGAUCCCAGCACUGGAAGUUUUGAGGUCAGUCUUAGUCAGAGGUCACACCCUGUUAUUUCUUUGGGUUGUGGACAUGGGGUGUUACCACAUGUUAUCUACCAUCCUUUGAAAUGUUGAUUAGAUUAGUCCCUAGCUUUUCAACAUCUGGAUUCUUUAAGCCAUUGAAGUUUUAAUCUGUCUGGGAUAAUCAAUGUAUCGUAGGGUGGGAAAAUUACUGUAGUACUUGCUUGGAGAAGGGACAAAGGGUCUUCACCUGCACUGGAAUUUCUUUUUUUGUUUUUCCCCACCUGCUCUUUGGCCACAUUUCCAUAGCUUUGCCUAACAGGGAUGCUUGUAAUUCUGUAUAUGUGACAUAGUAGUUGAAAGGCAAGCUUUGGAGAUGAGAGCCCCAGGUUCCAGCUGUAUUGCUUUGUGACCUUGGGCAAGUUAUCUAUUCCCUGUGUGUUCUUUGUAAAACUGGGAAUAUGAAUAUUCCCAGGUAGUACCUACCUCUCUCAUAGGGUAGUCAAGAGGAUUAUAUAAAUUAAUGUUUCACGAGGUCUGGCUCAGAGUUAGUGACCAGUAAAUGUUAGUUGUUGCAUUAAUAGUAUUGAUAUUAUGUUAAGUUUUUGUUGUUUCUGUGAGGUUGCUGGUUUUUGGAAUGCUAAAGGUAUUUGUGAUCUUCUGAAUAGGUCAGGAUUUUGAAUACUGCCUUUUUUUAGUGGCAGGUAUUUACUGAACACCUGUUGUGUCAGGCAUUGAUCUAAGUGAGCAAGACAUGAAAAUCCCUGCCUUCUUGAAACUUCUGUUUAAGGAAACAAACUGCACAAAGCAAAAUAGAUGACCCAUCACUCAUCUUAUUGAAAUUUGGUAUUCGACUUUGUAUAUUGAAGCCCGUGUUAAGCAGUCCUAUCAGUCUUCACCAUUAGAUCUUUUUUUUUGUUUCUCUUGCUGUGCUUCAGAAUGUUUGGUGCCAGGAGCACCUUAAAAGCAUGGAACUAGUUUCUUUGUUUCCAUCUAUGGCUCAGUCUUAUUAUAAGGCAGUCUUACACUCCUCUUAUUUCCUUGACUUACUACUUAAAUUGGCUGUUACAAACUUCCCUUUUGAUCCUCAAAUUUCAUUUCAUUUCAUUUUUUUUUCUUUUUUUUAAAGAUUUUAUUUAUUUAUUCAUGAGAGACAUAGGCAGGGAGAAGCAGGCUCCCUGUGAGAAGCCUGAUGGAGUACUAGAUCCCAGGCUCCCAUCCCAGGGCUUCGGGAUCAUGACCUGAGCCAAAGGCAGAUGCCUAACCAUUGAGCCACCCAGGUGUCCCUAAUUCUAUGUUUUUGUAAAAUUUUAUAAAAGUUACUUGCAAACAUUAAGAGCAGUGGACUGAAUGGUGUUCUAGUAAAGAUUAAAAUUUCUAAAUAAAAUUGAAUUUUGGUAGAUAAAGAAUUUAGGAGUUGGGUCACAGGGAAUUAGAUAAUCUUAUUAAUAUUUUAGGGUUCUAAAACUUGGCUUAUUAGUGUUCUUUUAUGUUAUCUACCAUAGAUUGCCUUUCUUUGAAAUGAAUAUUAAUAUGACACUUAUAAAAAUAAUAUUGAUAUCAACAUUUGAGUGCUUAAUGUGUGCCAGGCACUCUUCUGUAUCCUUUGUAUUAACUUUUUAAAAUUUUCACCAUAGCUCUCUGAGGUAAGUAUUGUUAAUGUCCCUAUUUUGUAGUUGAAAAUUUGGUACAGAGAAGUUAAACAUGCUCAGGACCUCACCUUUAGUUAGUGGUGGAACUGGAAUUGUAUUCAGGUAGUCUGGUUCUAGACCCUGGGACCUUGAUCACUGUUCUAUGUACUAUACUUAUCAUCUAUAAAUUUAUUUCUUACCUCGUAGUUACUGAACAGUGCCUGACACAUAGUAAGGUCUGUAGAUGUACAAGCUAUUUUCAAUGGCAUUUAAUUAAGUACUCUAUAAGGCUGGCAAAGUGUACAUUAUUAUCCAUUUAUUUUUAUUUUUUAAAAGAUUUAUUUAUUUAUUCAUGGGAAACACACACACACACACAGAGAGAGAGAGAGAGAGAGAGGCAGAGACACAGGCAGAGGGAGAAGCAGGCUCCAUGCAGGGAGCCCGAUGGGGGACUUGAUCCUGGGUCCCCAGGACCAUGUCCUGGGCCAAAGGCAGGCACCAAACCGCCAAGCCACCCAGGGAUCCCCUAUUAUCCAUUUAUAUAUGUAUGUAUUUUUUCUUUUUCUUUCUUUCUUCUUUCUUUCUUUUUUUCUUUUUCUUUCUUUCUUUCUUUCUUUCUUUCUUUCUUUCUUUCUUUCUUUUUUUAAGAUUUAUAAGAAAGAGAGAGAGAGAGUGAGAGAUGGAGAGAGAGAAAGCGAGCAUGAGCAGGGGUAGAGGGAGAAGCCCCAAUGUGGGGUUUGAUCCCAGGACCCCGGGAUCAUGACCUGAGCUGAAGGCAGAUGCUUAACCGAUGAGGCACCCAGCUGCCCCUGUAUUUUUUCUUCUAUUAAUUAGACUCCAGAUUUAAUUCAGUUUUUUUAUUUCCUUUUUUAAAGAUAGCUGAGUUCCCUGAGGUUCUUAGAAACUAGAUUGUCAAAAGUAUAUGGCCAUGUUAGAUCUCAAAAUUAGCUUUUCUCACCACACAUUCAAUUUUACUUUCAUUCCAUUAGAAAUGGAUAAGGACUGAGGUUGAUGUAUUUAUUUUUGUAUGUCGUUGAUUUUGAAAGGUGGAAGCGAAUAUACUAAUUUUAUAGCAGUGUAUUCAUGCUCAGUUGAUGGAAGAAAUAAACUUUCAGGCAUUAUAAAGCUUUUUUUACCUGUAAAGUUUUGAGAGUAGUAAUAUCUUAUCCUGCUGACUUGUGAAAUUGAAUCUUCUCACUCAUAAUAAUGUGAAGUAUUAGAUAUUGUUUUGACGAGAGCAUAAACAUUAACAGGCUUUGAGAGAAAUAAUAUAAGCCAUAUUUCCUCAAAUCAAAGGAGGCAUCUAUAUUAGCUUUCCAUUGCUGCAUUGCAGAUUACCACAAUUUUAGCAGCCAAUCUCAGUUUCCGUAGGUCAGGAAUCUGGGCAUGGUUUAGCUGGGUCCUGUCCUCAGAGUCUUAGAGGCUGAAAUCAAGGUGGCAGCCAGGGCUGCAGUUUCAUCUGAGGUUCAGAAUCCUCUUCCAGGCACACUGUUGGUUGGCACAAUUUAAUUCCUUGUGUUUGUAGGAAUGGCUUUCCUUUUUCUUGUUUGCCAUCAGUCAGGGACCACUCCUUGAGUCUUCUACCAAGGAGUGGUUGAUUAGGUGGUUCUCUCUUUGGGCAGUUCACAGCACAGUUAUUGAAAAAGAUGCUGGGAGAAUUUCUCUCCCUUGGAAUCUCUGCCUUUUAAGAACUGAUCUCU